GCGCCAGUAGCUCAGUUGGACAGAGCAGCUGCCUUCUAAGCAGCGGGUCGGGGGUUCGAGUCCCUCCUGGCGCGCCG
Molecule: transfer RNA, 77 nt
Filed under: Thermobaculum terrenum ATCC BAA-798
Lineage: Bacteria; Bacillati; Chloroflexota; Chloroflexia; Thermobaculales (SeqCode); Thermobaculaceae (SeqCode)
Description: tRNA-Arg
Rfam family: tRNA
About the family: Transfer RNA (tRNA) molecules are approximately 80 nucleotides in length. Their secondary structure includes four short double-helical elements and three loops (D, anti-codon, and T loops).
Source: RNAcentral